GACGAACGCUGGCGGCGUGCUUAACACAUGCAAGUCGAACGGAAAGGCCCUGCUUUUGUGGGGUGCUCGAGUGGCGAACGGGUGAGUAACACGUGAGUAACCUGCCCUUGACUUUGGGAUAACUUCAGGAAACUGGGGCUAAUACCGGAUAGGAGCUCCUGCUGCAUGGUGGGGGUUGGAAAGUUUCGGCGGUUGGGGAUGGACUCGCGGCUUAUCAGCUUGUUGGUGGGGUAGUGGCUUACCAAGGCUUUGACGGGUAGCCGGCCUGAGAGGGUUACCGGCCACAUUGGGACUGAGAUACGGCCCAGACUCCUACGGGAGGCAGCAGUGGGGAAUAUUGCACAAUGGGCGGAAGCCUGAUGCAGCAACGCCGCGUGCGGGAUGACGGCCUUCGGGUUGUAAACCGCUUUCGCCUGUGACGAAGAGUGAGUGACGGUAAUGGGUAAAGAAGCACCGGCUAACUACGUG
RNAcentral lists this ribosomal RNA (468 nucleotides) under uncultured bacterium. Its description in RNAcentral is "partial 16S ribosomal RNA". It matches the Rfam family "Bacterial small subunit ribosomal RNA", at positions 28 to 507 of the family's 1533-position model. The record is from RNAcentral.